GCUCCAGCCACCAAUCCACCUCCCCUUUCAGUCUGCCUGAGCCACAUCCUCUGCCACCGAGUCACCUCCACUACGAGUCUGCAUUUCUGAUCUCUGCGACUCCUUGAAGGCUUAAAUCCCUGAAUCUUAGAUUCGUGAAUCGUGAUGUUUGGUGUUUAGGGUGAGGUCGUAAACUGAUUACCCAAAAGUCCAAUACCCAAUACUGAUGCUGAGAGCUUCUGUCUGAUUGCUGGAAAUGAAGAGGCAAAAUCUCUCCAAGUCAAGUGGUGCUCUAGAUGCUAAUGGCAACGAUGCGGAUCUUAGUGUGUACAAGGGGAAAGUUCUACUUAUUGUCAAUGCUUCCAAAUGCUUGCUUCACCUAUUCUCAGUCAAUAUUGGAAGACUCAAUUGCUCCAAAUCUCUGUAAGUCAAAAUAUAAGAUCUACUUCAACUUCUUUACAGUUAAUAUUUGGCCUACUUCUACUUCUUUACAGUUAAUCUUUCUUGUUUCUCCUCCCAAGGAUAGUAGAUACUAUUUAAUUGAUUAUCUGACAAUGUCCUUUCCAGUUUCCAUCCCUACAAGAAUUGAGUCAGUAACUAGCUAGAUUUUACUUUUGUUUUUAUGGUAGUUGUAAUCCUGAUUUCUUGACACAAAUGUUAAAUUUGUUGAGAACAAUGCUUACUGUUCUUGACGCAUGUGGCUUUCCAUAAUGAAUGGAGCUACAUUAAGUGAGGAUAGUCACAGGCUGCAACAAUUAUCGGUUUGGUACUACGAUAGUAACAUCUUUAUGCCACACUAGCUUUGACUGUUUGUUUCUUUCCACUUUGAUGCCAAGACCCAAGUAUAAGGAUUUAAUCAGCUCAGACUUCUCUACGGGACACCUAUAAAUAUGUGGGAGGUCCUGAAGUCUGUGAAAGAUACUCAUUUUCAUGUUACAAUGGGAAAAUUGCAAUAGGAUUUUAUCUAUGUUCAGUGUUCUAGGGCUGCAUAUCUAUUUAAUAGAUGUUUAUGUAGCCUUCAAAAUCACAGAUAUCUAUUUAAUAUGUUGAAUGGUUACUAGUGCCUUCACUUUCAUUUUCAUAAUGGAACCCACGUCAAUGCAUCAGGGGGCUCUGUGUGUGUGU
This is a long non-coding RNA of Rosa rugosa (rugosa rose), 1104 nucleotides long. RefSeq lists it as uncharacterized. The transcript is spliced from 4 exons. NCBI's taxonomy places the organism in Eukaryota, Viridiplantae, Streptophyta, Magnoliopsida, Rosales, Rosaceae. The record is from RefSeq and is a predicted model, not a curated record.